Long non-coding RNA from Talpa occidentalis (Iberian mole), 530 nucleotides. RefSeq lists it as uncharacterized. Lineage: Eukaryota; Metazoa; Chordata; Mammalia; Eulipotyphla; Talpidae. The transcript is spliced from 4 exons. The record is from RefSeq and is a predicted model, not a curated record.
UAUCAGCAAACCAUGGAGAAAGUCCCAACUUCUUGAACUACGUUUUUAAAUCAAACACUUGUAAAACUUUGCCAAAUUUGUGACAACUUGCAAAAGCAAUAUCGCUUCAGAUUUAUAAUGUGAUUUACUGAUGGUUCUCUGACCCUGCUCCAACUUACCCACCACCACAUGAGGCAGCCCGUGUCCCCUGGACCUGGGAGACGCUGACCACAUCCCUCAUGCCUACUACUAUUCUUGUCUCAAAAUUGAGGCACUGAAGACUGCCUUUGGGACUUCCUGAGGGAACCUCUAAAAUCAAUUCCCUACAAGAAAGUGUUUGAAGCUGAAGGUCAACACAAACAUAAAUUCAAGCAGGAUUCCAGUGUUCCAAGCAUCACCCACAAACGGCUCACAAAAGGAUGGACACCCCACUUCUGCUGUGCUGACCCUCCACUCUGGGAAGAGAUGUGGAAGAGGAGCGUACCAGUUGGCUGGCUGUUCAUCACACUGGACUCAAGCAAGCUUCUAGUCAACAUGGCGUGAUCCCAAUA